GCGCAACACACUUACAUGACGUCACUACGCCGUCCUUGCUGAGCGCGACUUUGCUAGCGUACACUCGGCAAGCCAAGACAAGAACAACACUGUUAUGACCUUCGGGCUACUAAUAAAGUUGGACUUCCCGCUCCAAAGGUCCUCGGUGGGGGAAGACUCACACAACAACAACAGCCUCAAAAACGAACGAUGGCAGUCGAAGGGAAAACUUGCAAGGAGGUAUAUUUCGCCAUAUUGCCUGAUAAAUAUGAACCUUUGAUUGAGGAUGAAGUAAGCGAGGAGACGCCAGAGGAAAAGUCGAGGAGGAAGGAGAAGACGAGGAGGAGAAGGAAGAAGUACAUUAGGAACUUGAAGAAGGCCUGCAGCUUCAGCUGGCGAUGCCUGCUGAGCGGCUUGCACAGCCUGGCCUCCUCAUACGCCGUAACAUUGUCGGGUGUGGCUGUCGUGGUGGAGCAUCAGCGAGCAGCGGCCAGUAAGGUGUGAUGGGUCCACCCGAGGAUGGCGCCUCACUGGGACACUUCCUGGAGACUCUUCAGUGUACAUGUGUGGUUUUGUUAGUUUUAUCCUGCAUUUACUUCCUAAACGCCACAGCAGUUGAUUUCUUGUCACUUUUGUAUUUCAGAAUAGAAAAUCUAUUUAGAGGAGAUUUUGCAAAAAUAUUUCAUACUGGAUCUAAUCAAAUAAAAUGUCUUUAACCCUUUGACUACCUGCCCGACUAAUCAGUAGAGGAGAUUAAAACCCAUUCAUGGGCUGCGUCCCAUUUUUGGGACAUCAUGAUUUUCACGCAUU
Molecule: RNA transcript, 789 nt
Organism: Syngnathoides biaculeatus (alligator pipefish)
Lineage: Eukaryota; Metazoa; Chordata; Actinopteri; Syngnathiformes; Syngnathidae
Gene: c2h1orf115
Gene name: chromosome 2 C1orf115 homolog
Exons: 3
Source: RefSeq, a predicted model, not a curated record